GGAACCUGCCCAUAAGAGGGGGAUAACAUCCGGAAACGGGUGCUAAUACCGCAUAGGUGAUCAUAGCGCAUGCUUAGAUCAUUAAAGAUGGCUUCGGCUAUCGCUUAUGGAUGGCCCCGCGGCGUAUUAGCUAGUUGGUGAGGUAAUGGCUCACCAAGGCUGUGAUACGUAGCCGACCUGAGAGGGUGAUCGGCCACACUGGAACUGAGACACGGUCCAGACUCCUACGGGAGGCAGCAGUAGGGAAUCUUCCACAAUGGGCGAAAGCCUGAUGGAGCAAUACCGCGUGAGUGAAGAAGGUCUUCGGAUCGUAAAGCUCUGUUGUUAGAGAAGAACAAGAGGUGUAGUAACUGGCACCUCCUUGACGGUAUCUAACCAGAAAGUCACGGCUAACUACGUGCCAGCAGCCGCGGUAAUACGUAGGUGACAAGCGUUGUCCGGAUUUAUUGGGCGUAAAGCGAGCGCAGGCGGUCUUUUAAGUCUGAUGUGAAAGCCCACGGCUCAACCGUGGAGGGUCAUUGGAAACUGGAAGACUUGAAUGCAGAAGAGGAAAGUGGAAUUCCAUGUGUAGCGGUGAAAUGCGUAGAUAUAUGGAGGAAC
Molecule: ribosomal RNA, 600 nt
Filed under: Alkalibacterium sp. NY-5
Lineage: Bacteria; Bacillati; Bacillota; Bacilli; Lactobacillales; Carnobacteriaceae
Description: bacterial SSU rRNA
Rfam family: Bacterial small subunit ribosomal RNA
Source: RNAcentral